RNAcentral lists this ribosomal RNA (468 nucleotides) under uncultured bacterium. Its description in RNAcentral is "partial 16S ribosomal RNA". It matches the Rfam family "Bacterial small subunit ribosomal RNA", at positions 28 to 507 of the family's 1533-position model. The record is from RNAcentral.
GACGAACGCUGGCGGCGUGCUUAACACAUGCAAGUCGAACGGAAAGGCCCUGCUUUUGUGGGGUGCUCGAGUGGCGAACGGGUGAGUAACACGUGAGUAACCUGCCCUUGACUUUGGGAUAACUUCAGGAAACUGGGGCUAAUACCGGAUAGGAGCUCCUGCUGCAUGGUGGGGGUUGGAAAGUUUCGGCGGUUGGGGAUGGACUCGCGGCUUAUCAGCCUGUUGGUGGGGUAGUGGCUUACCAAGGCUUUGACGUGUAGCCGGCCUGAGAGGGUGACCGGCCACAUUGGGACUGAGAUACGGCCCAGACUCCUACGGGAGGCAGCAGUGGGGAAUAUUGCACAAUGGGCGGAAGCCUGAUGCAGCAACGCCGCGUGCGGGAUGACGGCCUUCGGGUUGUAAACCGCUUUCGCCUGUGACGAAGCGUGAGUGACGGUAAUGGGUAAAGAAGCACCGGCUAACUACGUG